UGACAUGCCAUAAUUUCUUACAG
RNAcentral lists this microRNA (23 nucleotides) under Caenorhabditis briggsae. RNAcentral describes it as "cbr-miR-7582". The record is from miRBase by way of RNAcentral. Lineage: Eukaryota; Metazoa; Nematoda; Chromadorea; Rhabditida; Rhabditidae.